Molecule: ribosomal RNA, 119 nt
Organism: Scophthalmus maximus (turbot)
Lineage: Eukaryota; Metazoa; Chordata; Actinopteri; Pleuronectiformes; Scophthalmidae
Source: Ensembl
GCUUAUGGCCACACCGCCUGGUUCACGGCUGAUCUCGUUUGAUCUCGGAAGCUAAGAUAGGUUGGGCCUGGUUAGUACUUUGAUGGGAGACCGCCUGGGAAUACCAGGUGCUGUAAGAU